GGAGGUGUGAUUCAGGUGGUAGAGACUCUACCUGGCAAGCACAAAACCCUGAGUUCAAAUCUCAGUACUGCCA
Molecule: transfer RNA, 73 nt
Filed under: Dipodomys ordii (Ord's kangaroo rat)
Lineage: Eukaryota; Metazoa; Chordata; Mammalia; Rodentia; Heteromyidae
Rfam family: tRNA
About the family: Transfer RNA (tRNA) molecules are approximately 80 nucleotides in length. Their secondary structure includes four short double-helical elements and three loops (D, anti-codon, and T loops). Further hydrogen bonds mediate the characteristic L-shaped molecular structure. tRNAs have two regions of fundamental functional importance: the anti-codon, which is responsible for specific mRNA codon recognition, and the 3' end, to which the tRNAs corresponding amino acid is attached (by aminoacyl-tRNA synthetases). tRNAs cope with the degeneracy of the genetic code in two manners: having more than one tRNA (with a specific anti-codon) for a particular amino acid; and 'wobble' base-pairing, i.e. permitting non-standard base-pairing at the 3rd anti-codon position.
Source: Rfam by way of RNAcentral